RNAcentral lists this long non-coding RNA (5615 nucleotides) under Sus scrofa (pig). Its description in RNAcentral is "lncRNA (ENSSSCG00040022347.1)". The record is from RNAcentral. Lineage: Eukaryota; Metazoa; Chordata; Mammalia; Artiodactyla; Suidae.
UUUUUAGGGCCGCACCCAAGGCAUAUGGAGAUUCCCAGGCUAGGGGUCGAGUCAGAGCUUUAGCUGCUGACCUGUGCCACAGCCACAGCAACAUGGGAUCUGAGCCGUGUUUGUGACCUACACCAUAGCUCACAGUAGUGCCAGAUCCUUAACCCACUGAGCAAGGCCAAAGAUGGAACCUGCAACCUUAUGGUUACUAGUUGGAUUUGUUUCCGUUGCGCCACAAUGAGAACUCCCCCAAUUUUUUUUUUUUUUUUAAAUACUACUUUUAGUUAAAGCUGUUGUUAAAUCCAAGACUCUGUCAUUCAUUGUCUCUAAGUUCCAAGUUUUGUUUUCCAAGGCAGGAACGGUCUCCUGUAUCCUUUAUCCCUAGUGUCUUAGUGCUUUUGUGCACAUCAAAUAGUUUGUCUCUUUGUUUUUUUCUUUUUAGGGCUGCUCCUGUGGCAGGCAUAUAGAAGUUUCCAGGAUAGGGGUUGAAUUGGGCCUAUAGCUGUCAGCCUACAGCACAGCCACAGCAGCGCAGGGUCCAAGCUGCGUCUGCAAUCUACACCACAGCUCACCCACAGCUCACCGCAACGCCAGCUCCUUAACCCACUGAAUGAGGCUAGGGAUCGACCCCGCAUCCUUAUGGAUACUAGUCGAAUUCUUAACCCGCUGAGCCACAGUGGGAACUGUUUUUAUGAUGAAUAAGUUACUUUCUUCUGGGGAUGCUCUUCUGUGAACAAAAUGUCUUCUGAAGGACCAUUUCUGUGGAAUUUCAUAGCAUCACAGCUGACAGAAUCUUUGGAUACCUGGGCUGGUUUCAGUGGACCUGGAGACUCUGUGAAAUUGUGUGCAGAAUUUUGACUGCUCAUGUGCCUUUUUGGAGAGCAGAGUCUCCAGCUUUCAUCAGUUUCCUAAAAAGGUCUGUGACGCAAAGUUAAGAACCCUGUCUACAUAUUACUGCUUUUCAUUCUUACUGGCUUUUACAGAAAGCCAAACUCCCUGUGCUUCCUCCUCUUCUACACCCACAAACGUUUCUCUAUCUGUUCCCACUCUUAGCCCCUUUCCUUCUUUUUCUCAGAGGAAGAACGACCUUCCUCCUGACUGUGAUCUCAGUCCCAUUCCUUCUCUUCUGGGAUCUUGGGAUCUUACUUCAUUGAUUGAUCUAUUCAUUUGUAGUCUUUUGUCUUUUCCUCUCAUCUUUAACCUCUCACUUAACACUUGGCUCCUUCCCUUCAGCCUAUAAAUAUACGGAAGCUCCUCCCAUCGUAAGAAAAGUGUCUUCCCAUUCUGAAACACUGAUCUUGUAUUAGAAUCUGUUUGUUCUUGUGUGCUCUCGUUCUCUUCCUCUCAUAGAUCCUAGAAAGUAGAGCCUAAGUUUCCUUUGUCUUCUUUCCUACCUUUGCUCACUCCUCAGUCCAUUGCUUCCGCCCCAUCAAGCCCUUGAAAAACAACUGUCUCCGAGGCCACCAGUGAGUUCUGAUUUCAGACUGAAAAGUGCCCACUGUAUAUACAGCAUCUUUCUCUGCAACAUUGGACACCAUGGACCGUUAUCUUUAUCAAACUCCCUCCCUUUUUAGCUUCUAUGGUGUCAUUUCCUUCUAGCUUCCUAACUGUUCCUUCUUUUUCUCUCUCUUCCUCCUGGUGUGGGUGUUCCUGAUACCUGUCAUUAGCCUUCACCUCAUUUCACAUACACUUGCUGAAUAAUCUCAUCUGUGCUCAGGGCUUCAGCUAUCAUGGCUGGGAGGUGAUGGCUCCCUAGCCUGUGUCUCUGGCCCUGACUCCUCUCUGCUCCACGUCCCAUUGAUUUCCCGCCCCCAGACAGCUAUAACUUAGUAUGUCCAAAACCAUACUCCUUGUUUCAGCCUGUUCCAGAAAUACUCCCUGCUUCAGAAUGUCCACCUCUAAGAGGGUCAUUCAGUCCUGUUGUUUCCGACUUCCUCCUUUCCAUUCACGUUGUUUCAGUCUUUGUUCAGGUUCUUACUGUCUUUUGCUAAGACUACUGCAGUAGUCUAACUUGUCCACCUGCCUUCAGUCUCUUCUCCCUCCAGUUCAUCCUUCUGUAGUCUCUGAUGGAAUGAUCAUUCUAAAACACUGAUCUAAUUGAGUCCUUUUCCCCAUUUAAAAUUUUUCGUUGGCUUUUCUUAUCCACAGGGUAAAAUCCAAACGUCCUUUGUAUAUCAAGCCCUGCCUGCCUUUUUAGCCCCACUUCCUGUGCCUUCCAGGUUUUUGCUCUCCUCCUUAGCUGUGCUGAAUGACUUGUACUCUGCUGAAUACACAGUGCUUUUUCACUUCCACACCUUUGUACACACUGCGUUUCUCUGAGAAAUGCCCACUCUGCAUUGUUCUUCCUUCCCCUUUUUCUGCCUGGUUAACUUCUGUUCCCAGGCUAGGGGUUGAAUGGGAGCUGCAGCUGCUGGCCUGCGCCACAGCCACAGCAACUCGGGUUCCGAGCUGCAUCUGCAACCCAUACCACAGUUCACGGCAAAGCUGGAUCCUUAACACACUGAGCGAGGCCAGUGAUCAAACCCGUGUCCUCAUGGAUGCUAGUUGGGUUCACUAACCUCUGAGUCACGAUGGGAACUCCUGUACGUAUAUUUUGAUGUGAAAUUAAUUUUUCUUCCUUGAAUUGAGGUGGGGAUGAUGAGAAACUGAAAAGGGGGAAUCCAGAAGGAAAUAUGCUGCACAGCACAGCCCUAAAUGAAAAUCCACAGGUCUGGUGUCUUUGAAAGGUGGUCGGUGUGUUCUGAAUUGCAGAUAGAGUGUUAAUAGUUAUAUUCUGGUUCAGAAAAAGGUUUUAAUGUUUCUUUUUUUCCUUAGGCUAUUUAAUGUUCAUUAUAAAAACUAAUGUUUAAUGUAGAUAUUUCUGUAAAUGACAUGUACUUUAAUUGAUUUUUCUUGGAGUUAUGUCUUUUUUUGUGAAGGAAUAGUGCUCUGUUAUUCCUUUCUUUUCAGAGGACUUUCGCUUUUAGUGAUUAAAGUAGCUGUAGGAUUUUUUUCUUUUUAAGGACCUUGGGUUAUGAUGUCUCAAUUUAUUCAUAGAUUGGAACUUGUGGCUUUUAACUCAGGUCAGGCAUGAAAUGCAUCACAGGGCUGGCCAGUCUUGUCACUGAAUCUCCUUUAUAAAAAACAAACCCAGCAGGAAUCGUUAGAAGAAGUUUCUAAUAAUUUCUUUUUUUUUUUUUUUUUUUUUUUGGCUUUUUGCUAUUUCUUGGGCCGCUCCCUCGGCAUAUGGAGGUUCCCAGGCUAGGGGUCCAGUCGGAGCUAUAGCCACUGGCCUACGCCAGAGCCACAGCAACGCGGGAUCCAAGCCGUGUCUGCAACCUACACCACAGCUCAGGGCAACGCCGGAUCGUUAACCCACUGAGCAAGGGCAGGGACCGAACCCGCAACCUUAUGGUUCCUAGUCAGAUUCGUUAACCACUGCUCUAAGACGGGAACUCCCCUGAUAAUUUCUUGUUUAAGAAAUCUGUGACAGAAGCAAGAAGGCUGUUUUUAGUUUUUUUUUCUUUUUUUUUUUUUUUUUUAAUUGAGGUGUACUUGACAUACAGCAUUUCGUUAGUUUCAGGUAUACAACAUAAUCACUUGAUAUUUCUGUACAUUAGGAAAUUAUCACCUCAAUAAAUUUCAUUAACAUUCAUCACCAUACAUAGUUACAGUUUUUUUUUUUUUUUCUUAAAAUUGUAAAGAGUUGUCAUUCUUAGUUUAUUGGAUUUCCUUUCUUAUUUGGAGAAUCAAUCUUUCUUUCUUUAGUCACGUCUUUUUACGGCUACAUCUUCAGCGUAUGGAAGUGCCCAGGCUAGGGGUUGAAUCAGAGCUGCCGGCCUACACCACAGCCACAGCAACACAAGCUGAGUUUGCAACCUACACUACAGCUCACAGCAAUGGUGGAUCUCCAACCGACUGAGUGAAGCCAGGGAUCGAAUCCGCAUCCUCAUGGAUACUAGUUGGAUUCGUUUCCGUUGUGACAUUGCCAUGACGGGAACUCCCAAACUUUCAUUUUUGAAUUGAACAUGUUAGCAAAAGCAUUGAUAUGAGUUUUCUUCCCAUGGUUCUUUGCUUACUUUUUUCUUCAAGGAGACAAAGGGAAGUCCUGGAAGAUGCAUUUCCUGUUUUAAAAAAGACAGCUUCCUCAUUUGUCGGUUCUCUGAGCUCUAGUCUCUAAUGUAACUCCUAUAUUAUAGCUAUUUUUCCAAUGAUCUUAAGGUUAUAAAAUGAUCAUUUGCAUAAGUAUCCUCAUCUCUUUGUAAGCUGCUUGAUUUUUUUUUUUUUUUAAGUAUUUUUUUAAGCUGCUUGAGGCUGGCAUGCAGCAUCCUUCAGCAUAAGUGCUUUUCCGUACUUAUUUGACAAGUGAAUGAAUCUGAACUCCACCAUCAACUGCCCUGUCUAUAUUCUUCCGUACUAGUAAGCUGACAGACUCUUCUUCACAGACUGGUUUCCUCACCCUUUUCCCUGACUUGCUCAUUCCCAUCUCUGUGCCUUUGCAGUGAUUAUUUUCUUUUCUCCUACUGAAAUUUACCCCUGUUUCGUGCCCUGGUUGAUGUCCUUUUUGUCAUGAAACCAGCUGACUACUUUAGUCCUUAUUAAUCUCUUCUAUUUUUAGGCUAUUGUAUUCAGUAACCAUUAACACUUAACUGAUUGGCUAUUUCUUUGUUUCAUUUAUGUUAUUUUGCCUCCUUGUUAGACUUUAGAUUUUCUGGGUAUAGGGACAAGGUUUCAACCUUUUGGAACAUGUAAGAUGCUCAGUAUAUCAAUAUAUCAAUAAAGAUGUAUUGAGCACAUUUAUUAACGAGAUCUGUUGAGAGGGUGAGAGAUGCAUAGAAGGCAGAUUUCUGCUUUCAAGGAGCUUUCAAUCCAGUAAUUUCUAACAAAUAGCUAUUUGGGUUUUAAAUUUAAUUUUAAAAUAUUAAUUUUUAAGUAAUUAUCUCUUGAGCACUUAAAGACAUUUUCCCCUCCUAUUUGAGUGAUAAGAUAGCCUUUAAACAUCCCUCUAUGAAAUGAUUCUGGGAAAAUGGCAGCUUGAGCACAUCUCUUCUGUCCUCUCUUUUUUUAAACUCAGUUCAAGUAAAAUAACAGUUUCAAAGCUUAGAACAAAAAUACCAAGAGUUGGAAUGGAAACUCAUGAAAGUUGGGCUUGCAGGAUAGAUCCAGGAAACCAAAAGUGCAAAUAAUAAUAAUUUUAGAAGGAGAAAUAAGUAAUAGAAAAAAUUUCCCUGAGUCGAACAAAAAUUGCAGACUGAAUGAGUUCACUGGGUUCCAGACAAAAUUGAUGAGAAAAGUCACAAAGCUAGGCAUGUUCUGAUAAAAUUCCUGAAUUCAGUGAUAAAGGAAAAAAAAUCCCACAAGCUCCUUGAUAGAAAGAUAAAGAUGUAAAGAGGAUUUCCCAUCGUGGCUCAGUGGUGACAAACCUGACUAGUGUCCCUGAGGACAUGGAUUCUAUCCCUGGCCUCACUCAGUGGGUUAAGGAUCCGGCGUUUCCGCGAGCUGUGGUGUAGGUCGCAGACAGGGGUCGGAUCUUGUGGUGCUGUGGUGGCUGUAGUGUAGGCUGACAGCUAUGCUCUGAUUCGACCCCUAGUGUGGUAACUUCCAUAUGCCGUGGGUGUGGCCCUAAAAAGACAGGGAAAAAAAAAAAA